AGACGUCUACAUUAGAUACCCCUGUAGUCCCAGCCGUAAACUAUGCGCGUUAGGUGUAUCGGUGACCACGAGUUACCGAGGUGCCGAAGGGAACCGUGAAACGUGCCGCCUGGGAAGUACGGUCGCAAGGCUGAAACUUAAAGGAAUUGGCGGGGGAGCACCACAACAGGUGGAGCCUGCGGUUUAAUUGGACUCAACGCCGGGAAGCUCACCGGAUAGGACAGCAGAAUGAUUGCCGGGCUGAAGACCCUGCAUGACUAGCUG
Molecule: ribosomal RNA, 264 nt
Filed under: uncultured archaeon
Lineage: Archaea
Description: partial 16S ribosomal RNA
Rfam family: Archaeal small subunit ribosomal RNA
Source: RNAcentral